Long non-coding RNA from Quercus robur (English oak), 947 nucleotides. RefSeq lists it as uncharacterized. NCBI's taxonomy places the organism in Eukaryota, Viridiplantae, Streptophyta, Magnoliopsida, Fagales, Fagaceae. The record is from RefSeq and is a predicted model, not a curated record. The transcript is spliced from 3 exons.
AUAACAUUGCUAGCUUUAUUCUCUAUAACUAUCAUCCUUGUGAUUCUUAGGAUUCUUCCUCAGAAUUUAUCCUUAAUUAUACUAGCUUGUUCAAAAAUUGCUCAUGGCACUCGCUAGUGUUCGCUAUAUCUCUCUGUACACCAACGUUCUGCAAUAUUUUUAAGUAAUACAAUUCUUUGCAUUGUAUUGAUGGUAGAGGCUUUUUUCUCAAUUAUACUAGCUUCAGAGCUUGUUCAAAAAUCGCUCAUGGUGCUCCGCUAUGUUCACUAUCAUUUUCUCUGCUGCUCCAACCUACUCCGAAUUUUCUGAAUAGUACACUUCUUUGCAUUGUAUAGAAGGUGUAGGAAGGCAGACCUAAUCAGUACUCACACGGGGACCAACUGAGAUUCAGAAUGGAAAAAGUUGCCAUAUAUGCACAUCUUUCAGCUGGAGGAUGCUUUUGUCCAUUGUUUUGACACGGCCGGUAAUGCUACUCUGCACUUUAUAUAUAUAUUUUGGAUGAAUAAAAUAUUUUAUUAAGAUCAAGCACAAUACACAAGUAAAACCCCGCUCAAGUACGCAGAGCAAAGAACAAUAAAGAAAAGUUAUAUCCCUACUCAUUCAUUUACACAGGAAAAAAGAAAGACCUUGCUUUAAUCCCUCUUUUUAUAAGCUUGAUGAUGCCUUUCUCUGUUUUAAGCCUUUGAACGUGAAUAAUGGCAUUCCUUUUGUGCCAAAUUUAAUACACCAGAGCACCCAAUAUUAGUUUAAACACCACAGCCCUUAAAGACUCCUCUUUCCAAUAAUUUUCUCUCCAUUGAAUUAUGUGAUCACAGUCAAAUAUGGGAGUUAUGAAUAAAUACCAGCACAUCAAUUUCCUCCAAAUUCUUAUAGAAAUGGAACGCUCAAAAAAUAAAUGGGCUCUACAUUCCAAGCUUUGUCUACACAAAACACAAUUUGAAUCUCCC